Molecule: ribosomal RNA, 408 nt
Filed under: uncultured bacterium
Lineage: Bacteria
Description: partial 16S ribosomal RNA
Rfam family: Bacterial small subunit ribosomal RNA
Source: RNAcentral
UGGGGAAUAUUGCACAAUGGGCGAAAGCCUGAUGCAGCGACGCCGCGUGAGGGAUGACGGCCUUCGGGUUGUAAACCUCUUUCAGCAGGGAAGAAGCCACAAGUGACGGUACCUGCAGAAGAAGCGCCGGCUAACUACGUGCCAGCAGCCGCGGUAAUACGUAGGGCGCAAGCGUUGUCCGGAAUUAUUGGGCGUAAAGAGCUCGUAGGCGGUUUGUCGCGUCUGCUGUGAAAGCCCGGGGCUUAACCCCGGGUGUGCAGUGGGUACGGGCAGAGUAGAGUGCAGUAGGGGAGACUGGAAUUCCUGGUGUAGCGGUGGAAUGCGCAGAUAUCAGGAGGAACACCGAUGGCGAAGGCAGGUCUCUGGGCUGUUACUGACGCUGAGGAGCGAAAGCAUGGGGAGCGAACA